GGGGAAUAUUGCGCAAUGGGGGAAACCCUGACGCAGCAAUACCGCGUGAGGGGAGACGGUUUUCGGAUUGUAAACCUCUGUCCUUGGUGACGAAAAAAAUGACGGUAGCCAAGGAGGAAGCUCCGGCUAACUACGUGCCAGCAGCCGCGGUAAUACGUAGGGAGCAAGCGUUGUCCGGAUUUACUGGGUGUAAAGGGUGCGUAGGCGGCACUGCAAGUCAGGCGUGAAAUAUAUGGGCUUAACCCAUAGACUGCGGUUGAAACUGUGGUGAUUGAGUGAAGUAGAGGUAGGCGGAAUUCCCGGUGUAGCGGUGAAAUGCGUAGAGAUCGGGAGGAACACCAGUGGCGAAGGCGGCUUACUGGGCUUUAACUGACGCUGAGGCACGAAAGCAUGGGUAGCAAACA
This 404-nucleotide ribosomal RNA is filed under the name uncultured Oscillospiraceae bacterium. RNAcentral describes it as "bacterial SSU rRNA". It matches the Rfam family "Bacterial small subunit ribosomal RNA", at positions 356 to 774 of the family's 1533-position model. Lineage: Bacteria; Bacillati; Bacillota; Clostridia; Eubacteriales; Oscillospiraceae. The record is from RNAcentral.